CUGCUGCCUCCCGUAGGAGUCUGGACCGUGUCUCAGUUCCAGUGUGGCUGGUCAUCCUCUCAGACCAGCUAGGGAUCGUCGCCUAGGUGAGCCGUUACCCCACCUACUAGCUAAUCCCAUCUGGGCACAUCCGAUGGCAAGAGGCCCGAAGGUCCCCCUCUUUGGUCUUGCGACGUUAUGCGGUAUUAGCUACCGUUUCCAGUAGUUAUCCCCCUCCAUCAGGCAGUUUCCCAGACAUUACUCACCCGACCG
RNAcentral lists this ribosomal RNA (252 nucleotides) under uncultured bacterium. RNAcentral's name for it is "partial 16S ribosomal RNA". The record is from RNAcentral.